This 1276-nucleotide long non-coding RNA is filed under the name Bos taurus (domestic cattle). Its description in RNAcentral is "long non-coding RNA NONBTAT013709". The record is from RNAcentral. Lineage: Eukaryota; Metazoa; Chordata; Mammalia; Artiodactyla; Bovidae.
UUGAUCAUAGAUCAAACUUGUUGCUGUUUAUACAGAUAAUUGUAGAAUGCUCAUGGAAUAUUUUCUUUAGGAUAGAUGGGAUACUUCUGUAGUAAAACUGGGAAACCUUGUUCAGCUGGUUACUGAUGUCUGGUGGGAAGUAAACUUCCUCAUGUAUGCAUAGAUGCACUUACAGAGACUUUGCUUCAUGAAAAUGUCAGUUCUGAUAGUAACGGAUUCAGAUGUGUACUUUUAAAAGGCUAAUUUUAGGAACAUUUUCUUAACACACAUCAGCAAAGUCAUAAAAGAUCUAAAUGAAGAAAUAAGACCUCUGAUUAAAAAUAUUAUUUUCUGUUUGUCUUGAGCAGAUUGUUUACCUGUUAGACUCUAGACUCUGAACCCAGCAUGUAAAAGAAUUUGAAAUGCUAAUGAGAGUGAGAAUAUAUAUGUAAUAUGUUUUUAGCACUUUUCCUUUUAAAAAAGUAAAAGCACUCUAGAACAUUUUUAAAAAUAAAUCUUGGGUUCUGAAAAUAUUGGUGAACAGAAAUGAGCAGUGGGAAGUGUCCUAUUUUAAGUGUUGAUUAUUAGAUAAAUUUAAUCCACUUAGGGUUUAUUGUAACUAGGCCUUUGAAAAGUGUGGGUGGAGGAUUAGAAUUGCCUAUCGGAGCUAUAAAAACCCUCUGGCUUGAAAAGGCAUCCCAGAAAUUCUGGAUAAGAAGGUGUGGCCUGUUAAAACAUGGAGGUUCAGAGUAUUUUGUUUUGCUGGUGUAGAUAGGCAUGUACUUAUGCAUUUUUGCAUUUGUAAAAUCAGCAAUUUUUCAGAUAAUGUAAUAUACUAGUUUACUUAUAAAGGUACUUGGGGCAGAAUCUAAAGCUAUGAUGUUUGAUUUUGAGAAAUGUAACUUGUGGUAAGGACAGAAAUGCAACUUGUAGAACCAAAGGAAAUAAAAAUUCUGGAUAGUGUUUCAAAAUGUCUUUUGAACAGGAGUUUCUUAAAUACAUUGGUUUUGAUCAAAUGAAGCUCAGUUCUCUCUUGAGAUUUGUGCUAAUCAUAAGAUGAUUGAAUGCAAAAACACCUUGUAAUUUCAUAUGGACUUAUUAUAAUUAGGUUUAUUGGAUUAUUGGCCUAAUAAGAAUGCUAGUAUGUAUUGGUUAGAAUAUAUCUAAUAUUUCACAUUUUAAAAAUAAUUAGUAUACUUUCUUCAGAAUUUUCUUUUAUUUCAACUUGGAGCCUAGAUUACUUUGCCAAAUAAAUGUAUUAUUUUCAUAAUGCAAUAAAAUAUAAAUUAGAAGAAUU